UACGGAGGGUGCAAGCGUUGUCCGGAAUCACUGGGCGUAAAGGGCGCGUAGGCGGCUCGGUAAGUAGGGGGUGAAAUCCUGCGGCUCAACCGCAGGGCUGCCUUCUAAACUGUCGAGCUGGAGCACUGUAGAGGCAGGUGGAAUUCCGGGUGUAGCGGUGGAAUGCGUAGAGAUCCGGAAGAACACCGGUGGCGAAGGCGGCCUGCUGGGCAGUGGCUGACGCUGAGGCGCGACAGCGUGGGGAGCAAACAGG
Molecule: ribosomal RNA, 253 nt
Filed under: uncultured bacterium
Lineage: Bacteria
Description: partial 16S ribosomal RNA
Rfam family: Bacterial small subunit ribosomal RNA
Source: RNAcentral